RNAcentral lists this long non-coding RNA (3654 nucleotides) under Mus musculus (house mouse). RNAcentral describes it as "RIKEN cDNA 5530401A14 gene". Lineage: Eukaryota; Metazoa; Chordata; Mammalia; Rodentia; Muridae. The record is from RNAcentral.
GCACAGGGCUUGUGCAGCCUAGUUACUGUCAGUGACAUUAGCAACUUUGGGCUGUUUGCUUUCCCUUUGCUUGCCUCCUGGCACUGAAACCUCAUUAGGGCUCUGACAGAAAAGAGCUCAUCAGUUGCCAGGAAGGCUACUCUGGGCUUCCACUGCCUGUUGCCUAGCAGGCUGACUGAGUAUGUACACUGACCCCAGGUCUCCACUGGAAGCCAGCAUCAUCAAAGCUGAUGUAAUGUGAGCCAGAAGCCCUCAGCACCCCCUGGGUGUUCUUCCAUCUUGCAUGAGCCACCCGGAAAGAACAGCAGCUUGCUUGGGUUCUGUUUGAGGGUCUACUGGCAAAGGCACAGAGCCAAUGAGGCUGGGGAAAGGUGGGGUGUUUAACCUACAUAGGAAAAGCUUUUUCCUCAAGUACUGCAGUGCAUUUCCUUUGCUUGAUGAGUGGCAAGCAGGUCAAAUGGGAUGUCCCCCAGGCAUCCAGUGGGCAGCACUUUGUUUUUACUCCAGUGAACUCUGCAGUCACAUGGAAGAGGCUGCAUAGCUCCAAAGAAGGACCUCUUAUGCUUGACGAGGGUGUAGCCCCAGUUCCUAGGCCCUGUUCUACUCUGAAUGGAUCUAGGCCAGUGCAGAGCUGUCUUGGGACCUACAAGUCUUCAUCAAGGAGCCUCUAGACAAGUUCGUCUCCUAAGCAUCAAUUCCCCCCAAAGCAGGAAGAGGAUGCAAGCUCAGAGACUAGCUAAACCAGGCUGCAGGGUGCACUGGGAGCUGGUGGCUGAGCUGGGAGUCCUGCCCAGGUGGGAAAGCUCACCCUUGCACUUGGCAUCUGCCAGCAUUGGAGCAGCCCGAGCUGGAACAUGUUCUCAAAGGGUUGCAGUUGAAAAGAGGUUGCUCGAUGCGCUUCUCCUCUAAUUUAAACAGAUACGCGCUUACUAUUCGCGCUUACAAGAGGUGAGUAUUUUUUACAGCUGGAGCAAUUCUCCCAUUUAAAAAUGAAUACACAAGUUCUCGGACACUUUGCUAUGAAGCAACCUUCUGUUUCAGCAAACUCUUUCUUUCCUAUUGAUUUUCCUCUUAAAAUCAAAGCACUCGACUGUUGUAAAAAGAAAUUGGCCUUUAGAUUUAAAAAAAUUACCCAGGGAUGUGGCAACCCACUCUAAAUACUUGUUUAAGGAGAAAAACGAAAAGCACUCGGAUGAAAUAUUAAUAAGAGUUCUGAAAAUAUUAACAUUGUCUGGUGCUGAAAAAUGAAUAUGCAGAAGUAAGAAAAGUGAGAGCAAGUCUUGGAGUCUUCUCCCCUGACUUCCAACCUUCCCUCACGCUGACCCACAGACACUUCACAGAGAAGUCGGCCUAAGCAAGCUUCAUCCCCAGUUACAAAUACCACAUCUUCAAGAUUCCUCCUGAAUCAUUCUUUACAAAUACCACAACUCCAAGAUCCCCCCCCCCCCCGAAUGUUCUUUAAAGCACCGCCAGCUUUUGCAAUCAUUAGAAUUCACUGGUCUCCGGAGCUGGAGAGAUGUUUAAUGGGAUUGGGUGCAUUUACUAUAACAAGCAUGAAGAACUGAGUUUGGAUCUCCAGCAAUGGUGUGCACUUGGUGUGGCUGUGUGUGGCUGUAAACCUCGGAGUAGAAUAGGAGAUGGAGUGUGGUGGCCCUGGGGUUUGCUGGCGGCUGGCGGGAUGGGGGGAGGGCAGUGUUUCCAGGUUCACUGAGAGACAAUGUCUCAAGGGAAUAAAGUAGAGAGAGAAUUGAUAGAGCAUGGGUGGUCUCUAUGAAUGUGUGCUUGCCUGUGUACCCUCUUGUGUGCACACCAUACCCUCCCCCCCCCCACCCUCCAUCACUGGCCUCUCUUCUGCAGGUAUCCUUGGAUGCUUACAUGACUAUGGGUGGGUUCACUUCCUCCUUGAACAGGCUUUCCCUGAUUCUGACAGGCAGAAGUUGGCUUUUCUUUCCUGGACCAAUGUAAACUCUCACUGGAGCUCUCUUGAGACCAUAAGGACUGGCUGUGGCCAGUUUCAGUUCAGAUAUCGCUUUUGUUUACUGAAUGCUCCUUCACUGCAGAAGUCCUGGCUGAUUCCCACUUAACAGGGAGAAUAUAGGAAGCAUCAGAUUUAGAGUCAUGAGUUCAAGUCCCAUUGCUGUCGUUCACGCAUGUGCCAUGACCUUGUUGGAAUUUUUUUUUUUUUGGUUUUUUGGUUUUUUUGGUUUUUCAAGACAGGGUUUCUCUGAAGCCCUGGCUGUCCUGGAACUCACUCUGUAGACCAGGCUGGCCUCGAACUCAGAAAUCUGCCUGCCUCUGCCUCCCAAAUGCUGGGAUUAAAGGUGUGCGCCACCACGCCCAGCAGGAUAUUUUUUUUAACUGCUAUCAUAACUCUCCAUACUGCCCAGCAGAAGUUUGUUGUUGUUGUUGUUGUUGUUAUUGCCCCUUGCACCUCACUACAGUGACUCUAGAAUCCAAAACUUUAUUUACUGCAGGCCCACACUAGAUUCCUGAAAGGAUGUACAGAUCCGGGCACAUGACAUGCAUUUCCUAAUCUCCUGUCUUUAUCUUUGAAAUUCAGAUAGCGGCAUCUCCCCUCCUUACCUGUAUGCUUUAUAUCCCUUAGAACUUGCAAACAGCCCAGGAAGGCAGGGAUUGUUAUCAUAUUCUACUUGGAUGAGAAAAAUGGAAUUCUAGGGUGAGUUUUCACAGACUGAAAAAGAAUGGAUCGAUAUCUAGACCGAGGGCCACGGAUGCCAAAUCCAGUGGCACCUAAAGUCUCUCUGGGUCCUCUGGAGAGAUUAAGUGGAGAUCUCCUCAUAACUUAGUCUGCCUCCACAGGGGGAGGCAGUAGUGGCCUUGGUCCUGAUCGCUAGCAGGUUCUGAGGCUUGGCACUGUCUCCUCUUUGUGAUUCUGAAAUCAUGCCUCUUGGAAAGAUUAUGUUUUCCAGCAAACUCAUCUGGAGAACUUAUAUUAGUCUAGGAACUCUGCCGGUUGCUAUGGCUGACAUGAGGAAUGUAGGGUCUGCUUAGUGUGUGUGGGUGCCACGUUUGAGUCAACCUUGUUUUUGCAGGCUUCCACUUCCAGCUACGGCUUUCCUCUCUUAAUAAUGUAGGCACUCUCUCGUCUCCAUACUCCACGUCUGCCCACCUGCAUCCCGUGCCCAGAGCUUCACAGGAUAAGCCGCCUGUAGUCACAGACACAUUGAGAAAUACUUAGGUGCAGAUGAGAAAUGGUUGCCACAAGUGUUCCUGGAGACAAGCAGAGAUUCACAGCAAAUUCAUGAAGUCAUUUCCCUGGGGGGAAAUUACCUCUCUUCUCUCUUCAUAGCUUUCCCUUCCCUCUUCCUGCACAGAGCAGUCUUGUUACCCUGUGUCUCUCUGAGACUCCUGUCAUCUCUCACAGCCCUGGCCGCUCAGUUCUCAUCACAGUCCCUCAAACAUGCCUGGAACUCUGCCACCGCAGGGACUCUGUGUGUCUUUAUGAAGAAUGUCUGUGCGAAUAAUCUCAUUCCAAUCCCUUGUUAUGAGUAUGCAUCUUUCUACACUCUUUUCAUGUGUUAAAAUCCUAAUCCCAGCAUAAUUGCCAUCUGCAGACUGGGGCCUUCUGGAGGUAGCUUAGGUUGGAUAAUAAAAGAAAGGAAACCUAAAUGUGCCCCCUUUUAAACCUUGUUC